Molecule: long non-coding RNA, 1566 nt
Organism: Esox lucius (northern pike)
Lineage: Eukaryota; Metazoa; Chordata; Actinopteri; Esociformes; Esocidae
Source: Ensembl
GGAACAGUCUGUGAGUUAAAGUCUCACAGUAAGUCGGGUUAGAGGCCCGUUAACGGUGUGUGAGUUAGAGUCUCACUGUAAGUCGGGUUAGAGGCCAGUUAAUCGUUCUGGGGUUGACUACCCUACGCCACUUCCCGACGGGGACGGUGGAGGUUCCGAGUUAGAGUCUUGGCAACCAGUCGGGUUAGAGGCCCAAGGACUUAGAGGCACCUCAAAAUAUUUAUUGUGUGUAAAGGUUCACGUUCAGCUGGGUUAGAGGCCCGGGAGUUUGGAACUCCCCGAAUUUUUUAUGAGAGAACUGGGUUCAAGUCCCAAAAGUGUUGGGUCAGGGACCCGUUAAUCAUUUGUUAAUCAUUCUGAGUCUGGGACUCACAGUAACAUAAGUCAGGGAGAAACGGACGGGGAGUUUGAGAAAGAAGUAGAUGACGAUGGGUGGGGUCCAGGCACGGGAAAGUGGAAACAAUUGGGGAUACAGGUGGCGAAUGUAAUGACAAUUGUAGGCAGGAUGGACCCAAUUCAGAAAGAAAAAGAAGAGAUAGAAGAGAAAUUGCGACAAGUGGUGAGUGAGGCAGGAUUAAGGAUGGAAGAAAGGAGGCCAUUACAUGUUAUUUUGUUGAAUAAGGAGAAGGAUUGUUCCAAAAAUCGAGAUAGAGUUAGAGACAAGAAGGAAACAGCAAAUUUGGUCAAGAGAGGGAGAUAUAGAGAAAAGGAGAAGGAAUGGGAAAAGCACAGAAAAGAAUGGUGUAAAUUAGCAGUGUGGUGUCAGGGCGUAGACCAUUUGAACAAAGAGAAAAAGGAACAGAAAAUUAAGGAGGAGAAAAAGGGAGGAAAGAUAGAACCCCCAGCAUAUGAAGAUGACCUGGUGCCUGGUACACCGCGUGCACCAUUAUAUCCAGUGUUACGUUUAGAGAGUGGGAUAUUGUCUUUAGACACACAGAACAGCAAGCCCAUAACUCAAUUCACAGGAAAGCAAGAUAAGAGAAAGUUGAGUAGGAAGGCGGAGUCAGAGAGCGAGCCAGACACUGAGGGGGAGGUGAAACCGUUCAAGGCAAGGGCAGAGAGAGAGUACGGGAGGUACGAGGAGAGGAGCGAGAAGGGGAGACAACUAGGAGAGAAUAAACAGGAUGAGAUUACAGGGGCCAGAAAGAAAAGGUCAGGCCGUACUAAAGGCAGGUUAGGUGAGGACUCAAAGUCGGGGUCGGACGAUAGUGACACAGUGAGAAGGACAAAAAUUAGGCAGAAAAAAGGAAAUUCAUAUAGAGGACGGGUGUUACUCACGGGGAAAGCAGUAGGGAGAUGGAAUGACUCAGACGAAAACCCCGACGCACACAGUAGUGGAGAUGGGAGUAAGGGAGACGCAGAUGUAUACCCUCUGUAUCUAGAAGUAUGUAAAAAAACAUGGGCCAAACACACAGGGCACCACCCGGGGAAGGGAGGUCUGCAGCAGGAGUGGUUUAGAAGGGCGGUCUUAGAGGGACUUCCAGAGAAAAUAAAAGAGGCAAUGAUGGCAAAUCCUGACUUGCCGGGUCUUCAUCUGACUUGCCAGCUGGGUGAAGCCAAAGUGAG